This 339-nucleotide transfer-messenger RNA is filed under the name Lachnospiraceae. RNAcentral's name for it is "F0428 sp003043955 Standard tmRNA". It matches the Rfam family "transfer-messenger RNA". From Rfam's summary of the family: Bacterial tmRNA, also known as 10Sa RNA or SsrA, is named for its dual tRNA and mRNA-like properties. Its role is to liberate the mRNA from a stalled ribosome. Lineage: Bacteria; Bacillati; Bacillota; Clostridia; Lachnospirales. RNAcentral also lists the same sequence under 1 other name. The record is from RNAcentral.
GGGGAUGUACCGGUUUCGACAGGGAUCAUGCAGCUGGUGAAGCUAUCCGCAUGCGAUGCGUUAAAUGGCAAAAUUAAAUUAAACGCUGAAGAUAAUUUAGCAUACGCUGCCUAAGUGCAGCUGUCAGCCUUAGAGCACUCACACUUUAAGAAUCUGGCAUCGACUUUGUGAGAAACGGUAUAUGUUAAGCUUUGCGCAUAUAGCCGUAUGAUGAAGCUACUAAAGUCCUGAGGGUGUUCGUUCUCGCAGGGCGGAGGGAAUGUCAAAGAACGGACUAUGAUAGUAGAAGAACAGGGAAUUGGUUUUUGGACACGGGUUCGACUCCCGUCAUCUCCACGC